Molecule: ribosomal RNA, 305 nt
Filed under: uncultured bacterium
Lineage: Bacteria
Description: bacterial SSU rRNA
Rfam family: Bacterial small subunit ribosomal RNA
Source: RNAcentral
UACCUACGGGACGCAGCAGUGGGGAAUAUUGCACAAUGGGGGAACCCUGACGCAGCGACGCCGCGUGAGCGAAGAAGUAUUUCGGUAUGUAAAGCUCUAUCAGCAGGGAAGAAAAAUGACGGUACCUGAGUAAGAAGCACCGGCUAAAUACGUGCCAGCAGCCGCGGUAAUACGUAUGGUGCAAGCGUUAUCCGGAUUUACUGGGUGUAAAGGGAGCGUAGGUGGCAUGGUAAGCCAGAAGUGAAAACCCAGGGCUCAACUCUGUGGAUUGCUUUUGGAACUAUCAAGCUAGAGUGCUGGAGGGG